CGCCCAACAGCUAGCCCCCCCCCCCCAUAACCCAACACCUACUUAUUUAUAACCCCGAAUGCACUAGAACUAAUAAUCAAACCAUUUUUCCCCCUUAGUAUGGGCGACAGAAAAGGAAUCUAGGAGCGACAGAAAAAGUACCGCAAGGGAACGCUGAAAGAGAAAUGAAACAACUCAGUAAAGCCAAGAAAAGCAGAGCUCCUGUCUCGUACCUUUUGCAUCAUGAUUUAACAAGUAUAACCAAGCAAAAAGCAUUUUAGUUUGGCCCCCCGAAACCAAGUGAGCUACUCCAAGACAACCUUUAAUUAGGGUAAACCCGUCUCUGUGGCAAAAGAGUGGGAAGAGCUUCGAGUAGAGGUGACAGACCAAUCGAACUUGGUAAUAGCUGGUUGCUUGAGAAAUGAAUAGAAGUUCUGCCUCUUACAUUCUCACCUCAAACCCGGGCAAUAACAGCCCGACCCACAGGUAAAUGAAGGCAAGAGAGUUAAUCAAAGGGGGUACAGCCCCUUUGAGACAAAACACAACUUUUCCAGAAGGGUAAAGAUCAUAAUUUUUAAGGUAACUAUGUUUUGGUGGGCCUAAAAGCAGCCACCCCAUUAGAAAGCGUUAAAGCUCUAACAUAUUCCCUCCCUCGAUCCCGAUAAUAAAUCUUAACCCACUAAAUAUAUCAAGCCGUCCCAUAAGCACAUGGGAGUGAUUAUGCUAAAAUGAGUAACCAGAGAACACCACCUCUCUCCCUGCACACGUGUAAAUCGGAGCGGACCCCCCACCGAAAUUUAACGAUCCCAAAUAAUAGAGGGCAUUGAAUGAUAAACAACAAACAAGAAAAUCAUCCAAAAUAAUACCGUUAACCCCACACUGGUGUACUUCAAGGGAAAGACCAAAAGGAAAAGAAGGAACUCGGCAAAUACCCCAAAGCCUCGCCUGUUUACCAAAAACAUCGCCUCUUGCUAACUACACAUAAGAGGUCCUGCCUGCCCUGUGACCCCUGGUUCAACGGCCGCGGUAUUUUGACCGUGCAAAGGUAGCGCAAUCACUUGUCUCUUAAAUGAGGACCUGUAUGAAUGGCACAACGAGGGCUUAACUGUCUCCUUUUCCCGGUCAGUGAAAUUGAUCUUCCCGUGCAGAAGCGGGAAUCCUAACAUAAGACGAGAAGACCCUAUGGAGCUUUAGACUUUCGAACAGAUCAUGUAAGCUACCCCCAUGAAAUGGGUAAUAACUAUUGAAUUCCUGUUCUCCUGUCUUUGGUUGGGGCGACCACGGGGAAGAAAAAAACCCCCAUGUGGACCAGGAGCACAUUACUCCUACAACCAUGAGCCACAGCUCUAAUGCACAAAACCUUUGACCAUUAGAUCCGGCAAAGCCGAUCAACGGACCAAGUUACCCUAGGGAUAACAGCGCAAUCCCCUUUAAGAGUCCAUAUCGACAAGGGGGUUUACGACCUCGAUGUUGGAUCAAGACAUCCUAAUGGUGCAGCCGCUAUUAAGGGUUCGUUUGUUCAACGAUUAAAGUCUUACGUGAUCUGAGUUCAGACCGGAGUAAUCCAGGUCAGUUUCUAUCUAUGACACGCUCUUUUCUAGUACGAAAGGACCGAAAAGAGAAGGCCCAUACUCCAAGUACGCCUUACCCCCGCCUGAUGAAACUAACUAAAACAGUCAAAAGGGCGUCCCCUCAUGCUAUAGAAAAUAGCAU
Molecule: ribosomal RNA, 1692 nt
Filed under: Chelon labrosus (thicklip grey mullet)
Lineage: Eukaryota; Metazoa; Chordata; Actinopteri; Mugiliformes; Mugilidae
Description: 16S ribosomal RNA
Rfam family: Bacterial large subunit ribosomal RNA (bases 98-1613)
Source: RNAcentral